AACGAACGCUGGCGGCAGGCUUAACACAUGCAAGUCGAACGCCCCGCAAGGGGAGUGGCAGACGGGUGAGUAACGCGUGGGAACAUACCCUUUCCUGCGGAAUAGCUCCGGGAAACUGGAAUUAAUACCGCAUACGCCCUACGGGGGAAAGAUUUAUCGGGGAAGGAUUGGCCCGCGUUGGAUUAGCGAGUUGGUGGGGUAAAGGCCUACCAAGGCGACGAUCCAUAGCUGGUCUGAGAGGAUGAUCAGCCACAUUGGGACUGAGACACGGCCCACACUCCUACGGGGAGCAGCAGUGGGGAAUAUUGGGCGAUGGGCGCAAGCCUGGUCCAGCCAUGCCGCGUGAGUGAUGAAGGCCUUAGGGUUGUAAAGCUCUUUCACCGAUGAAGAUAAUGACGGUAGUCGGAGAAGAAGCCCCGGCUAACUUCGUG
Molecule: ribosomal RNA, 431 nt
Filed under: uncultured bacterium
Lineage: Bacteria
Description: partial 16S ribosomal RNA
Rfam family: Bacterial small subunit ribosomal RNA
Source: RNAcentral